GAUGAACGCUGGCGGCGUGCCUAAUACAUGCAAGUCGAGCGAACAGACGAGGAGCUUGCUCCUCUGACGUUAGCGGCUGACGGGUGAGUAACACGUGGAUAACCUACCUAUAAGACUGGGAUAACUUUGGGAAACCGGAGCUAAUACCGGAUAAUAUAUUGAACCGCAUGGUUCAAUAGUGAAAGACGGUUUUGCUGUCACUUAUAGAUGGAUCCGCGCCGCAUUAGCUAGUUGGUAAGGUAACGGCUUACCAAGGCGACGAUGCGUAGCCGACCUGAGAGGGUGAUCGGCCACACUGGAACUGAGACACGGUCCAGACUCCUACGGGAGGCAGCAGUAGGGAAUCUUCCGCAAUGGGCGAAAGCCUGACGGAGCAACGCCGCGUGAGUGAUGAAGGUCUUCGGAUCGUAAAACUCUGUUAUUAGGGAAGAACAAAUGUGUAAGUAACUAUGCACGUCUUGACGGUACCUAAUCAGAAAGCCACGGCUAACUACGU
RNAcentral lists this ribosomal RNA (496 nucleotides) under uncultured bacterium. Its description in RNAcentral is "partial 16S ribosomal RNA". It matches the Rfam family "Bacterial small subunit ribosomal RNA", at positions 28 to 506 of the family's 1533-position model. The record is from RNAcentral.